CAGGUCAGCAUACUGCCGUGAAUACGUUCCCGGGCCUUGUACACACCGCCCGUCACACCAUGAGAGUUGGGAAUACCCGAAGCCUGUGAGCCAACAAACGAGGCAGCAGUCGAAGGUAGAAUCAAUGAUUGGGGUGAAGUCGUAACAAGGUAAC
This 154-nucleotide ribosomal RNA is filed under the name uncultured bacterium. RNAcentral describes it as "partial 16S ribosomal RNA". It matches the Rfam family "Bacterial small subunit ribosomal RNA", at positions 1345 to 1500 of the family's 1533-position model. The record is from RNAcentral.